Juglans microcarpa x Juglans regia is the source of this 151-nucleotide long non-coding RNA. RefSeq lists it as uncharacterized. The record is from RefSeq and is a predicted model, not a curated record. The transcript is spliced from 3 exons. NCBI's taxonomy places the organism in Eukaryota, Viridiplantae, Streptophyta, Magnoliopsida, Fagales, Juglandaceae.
AGCUAGUUAGUUAUUUUCAAAAUAUUACUUAGUUACCAGUUUGCCUUUUUGUAAUUCAAUAUUUUACAGUACUCGUGUCUUUUAUUAAUUAGUCUAGGUUGUUAUUCUUGAAAAGUAUAAUAGGAGGGAAAAGAGCUGCUAAGUUUCCUAU